Molecule: non-coding RNA, 177 nt
Organism: Peromyscus maniculatus bairdii (prairie deer mouse)
Lineage: Eukaryota; Metazoa; Chordata; Mammalia; Rodentia; Cricetidae
Source: RefSeq, a predicted model, not a curated record
GGUUUUCUAACUAGGCUUGAGAUUUUGCUUAAAAAAGUUACAAAGAAAAGGGAGAGUUAAUAGUCCUUAGUCUAUUUAAUUUAAAAUAUGUUCUUGUUUGAGUGGAUUAAUGUCAUGUUUUGUGAGUAAGAAAUGUAAAUGGGGUAUACUAAGAGACUACUUUUAAACUGUGUAAAG